CCGAAGAGGCCAGAAUUGGGUCAAAUGGAUGAGGCUGAAGACAGUUUACCACAUGAUUAUCAGCUUCCAGCAGCAUGAGAUGUUCAGCAGUAUGGCGAUCCCAUAUAAAAAUAUGGCCACAGUCUGAACCACUCAUGACAAAGUUAGAUCCCCAAAAAUUGGCUUCCUUUAUCAUUGUUCGGGAGUUCCGAUGACCUUUAUAAACCAUCUUUAUUAAAGGACGUCUAAUGUUCAAAGUCUCCAACUCUUCCAUUUCUUUCCUUUCUUUCCUCCUUCUGAAGAGCUCCUGAAUGCGGGCAACAGCAGAUCGUCUCAUUAUUCUAUCACCUAUCGCUGUUCCUCUGAUAUUAUAUCUGUGUCCUGGUCCUCCUCG
This 373-nucleotide long non-coding RNA is filed under the name Gallus gallus (chicken). Lineage: Eukaryota; Metazoa; Chordata; Aves; Galliformes; Phasianidae. The record is from RNAcentral.